This 213-nucleotide long non-coding RNA is filed under the name Elaeis guineensis (African oil palm). Its description in RNAcentral is "long non-coding RNA (EGUI_LNC009501)". The record is from RNAcentral. Lineage: Eukaryota; Viridiplantae; Streptophyta; Magnoliopsida; Arecales; Arecaceae.
CAGGUUAGUAAGAGAUUUGAAGAAGACGAGAGAUUCCUUAAUGUUGAGAUGAGAGACCAAUUUCAGUUCUAGCUAUAGGGAUUGUCAAACUUGUAUUCAAGUCUAAUAUCGUUAUACUCAAUGAAUGUCACUUCUGUCCGAGUUUUUUAUUGAAUAUAAUUUCUAUAGGCCUUUUAGCCAAAAAUAGUUAUGAAAUAUCAAUAAAAAAAAUUA